RNAcentral lists this long non-coding RNA (1322 nucleotides) under Sus scrofa (pig). RNAcentral describes it as "lncRNA (ENSSSCG00030045074.1)". The record is from RNAcentral. Lineage: Eukaryota; Metazoa; Chordata; Mammalia; Artiodactyla; Suidae.
GCCUGAAGCAGGAGGCAGAAGGGAUGCGGAAGAAGGGAGAUGCUGGGCUCCCUCGAGGCGGAGGAGACGGAGGCCGCCGUGCUGCUUGUUGGACCCCACGGAGGUGCCCUAUCUUUGUGGAUGAACUUGAGCCAAUCCUUGGUUCCCAGGGGCUCCCAGGGGCAGGAAACCCACCUGAAGUUGAAGGCUCCAGUAAGGUAAGCACUAUAGGUUUGACAGGUGAUAUUGCUCCCACUUUCAGAUGAUGACAUUCAGGACAGAGGGGUUCUUUGGUCAGCAAGAGUCAAUGCCAAUGAUGAUAGGUGAUGUUCUUGUGAUGGGUACUAUGCGGGCAUUGUUCUCAGCAUCCUUUUUUUUUUUUUCUUUCCAAUUUUAUUGGCAUAUAGCAUGGUAUCAGCCCAAGGUGUAAAGCAUAAUGCUUUGGUACCUAUAUAUAGUUGCUUUUCUUGUGAUGAGAACUUUUAAGGAUUUACUCUCUUAAUAACUUUCAAAUAUACAAUAGAGUAUUAUUAACUAUAGUCACCGUGCCAUACAUUACAUCUCUAGAAAUUGUUAUAAUGAAGUUUAUAACUUUUGACCAUCUUCACUCUUUUUUCUCCUCCCUCACCUCUGCCUCUGCCAACCCCCAAACUGUUCUCUGUAUCUGUGAAUUUGGUUUUUUAGAUUCCACAUAUAAGUGAGAUCAUACUUUGUCUUUUUCUGUGUUUUCUUAUUUCAUGUAGUACAACAACCUCCAGGUUUAUCUGUAUUGUCACAAAUGGCAGAAUUUCCUUCUUUUUUAUGGCCGAAUAAUAUUCCACUCUAUACAAAUACCAUAUCUUCUUUAUCCAUUCACCUGUCGAUGGACACUUAGGUUGUUUGCAUGUCUUAGCUGUGCUGCUAUAAAUGUGGGGGUGCAGAUAUCUUUUUGAGACAGUGAUUUCAUUUCCUUGUGCUCAGCAUCUUAUUUGAAUUAUGUCCUCCCUGUGAUGUUGGCACUUGAAUGAUCCCCAUUUUAUAGCUAGGUUAACUGAGACAAGAGAGUUUAAGUUACCUGCUUAAGGUUACAAAGCAUAUGUGAUGGUGCUGGAAUUCAAUUCCAGGUAGUCUGACAUCAGAGCAGGUAUCUGACCACCAUGCUUCUUUGAGUUCAACACCAGCCAGGUCUUCUGAUUCUAAGCCCACCCUUCUUUCCAAUACAUUGUAACAGUCAGUUCUUGGCAUAUAAAUGUCAAAUAUCAAGCCAAUAAUUUCGUAUGUAAGGAUUUCAAAGGUGUACCUCUGGGGAGCCUAUGAUCUCAGACACACUGUAGGAAAUAAAUUGCUGGGGUUUAGUAUCUUCA